GAGCGCCAGCGAGAGAGCGUUGCCGCAGGCAACGACCCGUAGGGCGAAGCGCGCAGCGCUGAGUAAUCCUUCCCCCACCACCA
Molecule: small RNA, 83 nt
Filed under: Escherichia coli
Lineage: Bacteria; Pseudomonadati; Pseudomonadota; Gammaproteobacteria; Enterobacterales; Enterobacteriaceae
Description: partial RtT sRNA
Rfam family: RtT RNA
About the family: This family represents a bacterial cis-regulatory element known as RtT RNA. The exact function of RtT is unknown although it is thought that it may be involved in changing the cellular response in relation to amino acid starvation.
Source: RNAcentral